This 468-nucleotide ribosomal RNA is filed under the name uncultured bacterium. Its description in RNAcentral is "partial 16S ribosomal RNA". It matches the Rfam family "Bacterial small subunit ribosomal RNA", at positions 28 to 507 of the family's 1533-position model. The record is from RNAcentral.
GACGAACGCUGGCGGCGUGCUUAACACAUGCAAGUCGAACGGAAAGGCCCUGCUUUUGUGGGGUGCUCGAGUGGCGAACGGGUGAGUAACACGUGAGUAACCUGCCCUUGACUUUGGGAUAACUUCAGGAAACUGGGGCUAAUACCGGAUAGGAGCUCCUGCUGCAUGGUGGGGGUUGGAAAGUUUCGGCGGUUGGGGAUGGACUCGCGGCUUAUCAGCUUGUUGGUGGGGUAGUGGCUUACCAAGGCUUUGACGGGUAGCCGGCCUGAGAGGGUGACCGGCGACAUUGGGACUGAGAUACGGACCAGAGUCCUACGGGAGGCAGCAGUGGGGAAUAUUGCACAAUGGGCGGAAGCCUGAUGCAGCAACGCCGCGUGCGGGAUGACGGCCUUCGGGUUGUAAACCGCUUUCGCCUGUGACGAAGCGUGAGUGACGGUAAUGGGUAAAGAAGCACCGGCUAACUACGUG